Long non-coding RNA from Acanthochromis polyacanthus (spiny chromis), 610 nucleotides. RefSeq lists it as uncharacterized. The transcript has 6 exons. The record is from RefSeq and is a predicted model, not a curated record. NCBI's taxonomy places the organism in Eukaryota, Metazoa, Chordata, Actinopteri, Pomacentridae.
CACAGAUUCACAGUCAUCCACAUCUGUGUAGGGACGAUAUUUGGCUUUAUUCUAAUUAUUUUUAUUUAUUUAUUUGAUAGGGACAGGGCACAUUAAUGAGCGUCUAUUUAGGCAGCAAUAGAUGCAAAUAUGCCAGAUUAUGACAACAAUGCUGAUUUACAUCCGCAGUCCCUGGGCAGAUUAAAAAAACAGUGAAACAUAGGACAGUAGGUCACAACAAAAGGACGAUAGGUCACAACAAAAGGACGAUAGGUCACAACAAAAGGACGAUAGGCCACAACAAAAGGACGAUAGGUCACAACAAAAGGACGAUAGGUCACAACAAAAGGACGAUAGGCCACAACAAAAGGACGAUAGGUCACAACAAAAGGACGAUAGGUCACAACAAAAGGACGAUAGGUCACAACAAAAGGACGAUAGGUCACAACAAAAGGACGAUAGGUCACAAUAAAAGGACGAUAGGUCACAACGAAAGGACGAUAGGUCACAACGAAAGGACGAUAGGUCACAACAAAAGGACGAUAGGUCACAACGAAAGGACGAUAGGUCACAACGAAAGGACGAUAGGUCACAACGAAAGGACGAUAGGUCACAACAAAAGGACGAUAGG